This 253-nucleotide ribosomal RNA is filed under the name uncultured bacterium. Its description in RNAcentral is "partial 16S ribosomal RNA". It matches the Rfam family "Bacterial small subunit ribosomal RNA", at positions 524 to 776 of the family's 1533-position model. The record is from RNAcentral.
UACAGAGGUCCCAAGCGUUGUUCGGAUUCACUGGGCGUAAAGGGUGCGUAGGCGGUUGGGUAAGUCUGAUGUGAAAUCUCACAGCUUAACUGUGAAACUGCAUUGGAUACUAUCCAACUCGAGGAAUGGAGGGGAGACUGGAAUACUUGGUGUAGCGGUGAAAUGCGUAGAUAUCAAGUGGAACACCAGUGGCGAAGGCGAGUCUCUGGACAUUUCCUGACGCUGAGACGCGAAAGCGUGGGGAGCAAACAGG